Molecule: ribosomal RNA, 510 nt
Filed under: uncultured bacterium
Lineage: Bacteria
Description: partial 16S ribosomal RNA
Rfam family: Bacterial small subunit ribosomal RNA
Source: RNAcentral
GACGAACGCUGGCGGCGUGCUUAACACAUGCAAGUCGAACGAAGAGCGAUGGAAGCUUGCUUCUCUCAAUCUUAGUGGCGAACGGGUGAGUAACGCGUAAUCAACCUGCCCUUCAGAGGGGGACAACAGUUGGAAACGACUGCUAAUACCGCAUACGAUCUAAUCUCGGCAUCGAGGAUAGAUGAAAGGUGGCCUCUACAUGUAAGCUAUCACUGAAGGAGGGGAUUGCGUCUGAUUAGCUAGUUGGAGGGGUAACGGCCCACCAAGGCGAUGAUCAGUAGCCGGGCUGAGAGGAUGAACGGCCACAUUGGGACUGAGACACGGCCCAGACGCCUACGGGAGGCAGCAGUGGGGAAUCUUCCGCAAUGGACGAAAGUCUGACGGAGCAACGCCGCGGGAGUGAUGACGGCCGUCGGGUUGUAAAGCUCUGUUAAUCGGGACGAAAGGCCUUCUUGCGAAUAGUGAGAAGGAUUGACGGUACCGGAAUAGAAAGCCACGGCUAACUACGUG